UAAGUUUGAGUAAACUCUGGGAAUUGGUGACGGACAGGGAGGCCUGGCAUGCUGUAGUCCAUGAGGUUACAAAGAGUCGGACAUGACUGAGCAACUGAACUGAACUGAAUGUAAAAGAACUUUGUAAAAAACAAAGUCUUUAUGUCUUCAAAGAAGAAGCCUUAAAGUGAAAAGAAAAAGUCUGAAACAUGCAGCAAAUUAGAAACUAAAGUUUGAUUAAGAACUAAACUAAGAGUCAAAUCAGUAAGUCAAAUCAGUCAUAAGUGUCAGGAUACAUAAAGUCAUACUUAGAAUUUUGUAGUCUGUACAGUUUUUUGGUUCCAUUGUAAACAUUUGGUGACAGAAGAUUUUCAAUAAGUGUUUUUUGCAAACAAUGGAAAGUCAUGUUAUUUCUAAAAUUCCAUGAUCGGAUGGUAGUAGUUUUCUUUUAGUAUAACAUAUGAACGAUACUUAUUUCAAAAAAAGCCCUGAAACCCAUUUCACACAUUUUGUUGUUAUUAACGUCAACUAAUGAGUGUAUUUCUCAAACAACUGCAGAUGUUUUUAAGAUUUUGUUUUUCAGCACAGACUCAACCUGAUAGCAACCAUCUGUCCUGGAUGAUUCAAGUUCAUCUCUCUGAAAGUGUGAGAAUGGAUUUGAUGUUGACCUACUGGUGCAAGAGAAAAACCUGCAUUAGAUGACGGGCUGCAAGCUUCUCCAUAACCUGGUGUCCAGUAAUAAUGCCUUUUAAGGCCAUUGGAGACUUCUGCAAGGUACACGUGUCCAUCUACCACAAACGGCUCCACAUCUGUAUUGUCUGAUUUUAGACGGCCUGUGUGAAUUAAAUCUGAAUAUGCCUAGGAUUUUUAAGAAAAACUGUAUCAUUAAGAAAAUAGUUUAUUCACUUUACAAAUUUCAACAUUCACAUUUAGAUGUGAUAAUUUAUAGUCUGAAAUAUUCUGAAUAACUGCUGAAUUUUAAUAUUUUUCAGGUAUUGUUCACAGUGUGUAAAUUACAAUCUUAUAAAACUUAUUUCUGCAUUUUAA
This is a long non-coding RNA of Bubalus bubalis (water buffalo), 1026 nucleotides long. RefSeq lists it as uncharacterized. The transcript has 2 exons. Lineage: Eukaryota; Metazoa; Chordata; Mammalia; Artiodactyla; Bovidae. The record is from RefSeq and is a predicted model, not a curated record.